UACGUAGGGAGCAAGCGUUGUCCGGAAUCAUUGGGCGUAAAGCGCGCGUAGGCGGCCCUGUAAGUCCGCUGUGAAAGUCAAAGGCUCAACCUUUGAAAGCCGGUGGAUACUGCAGGGCUAGAGUCCGGAAGAGGCGAGUGGAAUUCCUGGUGUAGCGGUGGAAUGCGCAGAUAUCAGGAGGAACACCAAUAGCGAAGGCAGCUCGCUGGGACGGUACUGACGCUGAGACGCGAAGGCGUGGGGAGCGAACAGG
This 253-nucleotide ribosomal RNA is filed under the name uncultured bacterium. RNAcentral describes it as "partial 16S ribosomal RNA". It matches the Rfam family "Bacterial small subunit ribosomal RNA", at positions 524 to 776 of the family's 1533-position model. The record is from RNAcentral.